Molecule: ribosomal RNA, 411 nt
Filed under: uncultured bacterium
Lineage: Bacteria
Description: bacterial SSU rRNA
Rfam family: Bacterial small subunit ribosomal RNA
Source: RNAcentral
GUGUCAGCCGCCGCGGUAAUACGAGGGGAGCUAGCGUUGUUCGGAAUUACUGGGCGUAAAGGGCGUGUAGGCGGUACCAUAAGUCAGAUGUGAAAGCCCUAGGCUUAACCUAGGAGGUGCAUUUGAUACUGUGGAACUAGAGAUCGAGAGAGGUAAGUGGAAUUACGAGUGUAGAGGUGAAAUUCGUAGAUAUUCGUAAGAACACCAGUGGCGAAGGCGACUUACUGGCUCGAUACUGACGCUAAGGCGCGAAAGCGUGGGGAGCAAACAGGAUUAGAUACCCUGGUAGUCCACGCUGUAAACGAUGAGUGCUAGAUGUUGGUGAAGGAAUUCAUCAGUGUCGCAGCUAACGCAUUAAGCACUCCGCCUGGGGAGUACGGUCGCAAGAUUAAAACUCAAAGGAAUUGACGG